This 305-nucleotide ribosomal RNA is filed under the name uncultured bacterium. Its description in RNAcentral is "bacterial SSU rRNA". It matches the Rfam family "Bacterial small subunit ribosomal RNA", at positions 337 to 640 of the family's 1533-position model. The record is from RNAcentral.
CCCUACGGGGGGCAGCAGUGAGGAAUAUUGGUCAAUGGCCGGAAGGCUGAACCAGCCAAGCCGCGUGAAGGACGAAGGUGCCAAGCAUUGUAAACUUCUUUUGUCAAGGGACAAAAUCAGGCUCGAGAGCCUGACCGAGGGUACCUGAAGAAAAAGCAUCGGCUAACUCCGUGCCAGCAGCCGCGGUAAUACGGAGGAUGCGAGCGUUAUCCGGAUUUAUUGGGUUUAAAGGGUGCGCAGGCGGAGGCACAGGUCAGCGGUAAAAUCGCGGGGCUCAACCCCGCUCCGCCGUUGAAACUGUGUCC